AACUUGGUGGGAUGGAGCAUUUGCUUUCCACCCUGUGUAGAGGCUGAGGCAGAGUGAGAUGAGGAUCCGAGGCCAAACGCUGGAGAAAACUUCACAAUGGAAGAGAGACAGCUUCUUUCCUCAGCCUUGCAGUCCCCGAUCAAACUGGGUACCUUUCCCUUCUCAGGGAGGCUGGCUUCCCCAAUCAGCCUUGCCUGAGUUCCCUGGGAGGGCGCUUACCUGGGAAUGUUUCCAAAAAGCAAGGAAGGCCAGACCUGGACGUUUCCAGGGAAGGCAAAUCUCCGAGGCGGUAGUGGAGUCAUCUUCUCCCUCCCCAACAGUACCCGCUUCCCUGCAGGGCUCUAAGAAUUGUUGGCGGUUUUGUAUCCUGGCGCUUCGCUUUUUCCGCCCUUCCUCUGGUUUGGGGCUCCUUUUCAGGAGAGCCUCUGCUUUGUUCCUUCGACUAGCUCCGCUGUGGGAUUCAGCAUGCCCUGCCUCUGCUUCACCCGGAAGCAUCACAGGGCUGCCUUUCAGAGGACCACCAAACCUGAUUGGAGCUGGAGGUACAGAGAUGCAGCCUUAUCCAAUCUCCAGCAUCAGCAGACAACAUGAAUUGAAAAGAGCCUUAGAUAAC
This 613-nucleotide long non-coding RNA is filed under the name Phascolarctos cinereus (koala). Its description in RNAcentral is "lncRNA (ENSPCIG00000031446.1)". The record is from RNAcentral. Lineage: Eukaryota; Metazoa; Chordata; Mammalia; Diprotodontia; Phascolarctidae.